RNAcentral lists this ribosomal RNA (652 nucleotides) under Streptomyces sp. Schreyahn_K6.Aster. Its description in RNAcentral is "bacterial SSU rRNA". It matches the Rfam family "Bacterial small subunit ribosomal RNA", at positions 91 to 757 of the family's 1533-position model. The record is from RNAcentral. Lineage: Bacteria; Bacillati; Actinomycetota; Actinomycetes; Kitasatosporales; Streptomycetaceae.
AUUAGUGGCGAACGGGUGAGUAACACGUGGGCAAUCUGCCCUGCACUCUGGGACAAGCCCUGGAAACGGGGUCUAAUACCGGAUACUGAACCUCGCAGGCAUCUGUGAGGGUCGAAAGCUCCGGCGGUGCAGGAUGAGCCCGCGGCCUAUCAGCUUGUUGGUGAGGUAAUGGCUCACCAAGGCGACGACGGGUAGCCGGCCUGAGAGGGCGACCGGCCACACUGGGACUGAGACACGGCCCAGACUCCUACGGGAGGCAGCAGUGGGGAAUAUUGCACAAUGGGCGAAAGCCUGAUGCAGCGACGCCGCGUGAGGGAUGACGGCCUUCGGGUUGUAAACCUCUUUCAGCAGGGAAGAAGCGAAAGUGACGGUACCUGCAGAAGAAGCGCCGGCUAACUACGUGCCAGCAGCCGCGGUAAUACGUAGGGCGCAAGCGUUGUCCGGAAUUAUUGGGCGUAAAGAGCUCGUAGGCGGCUUGUCACGUCGGUUGUGAAAGCCCGGGGCUUAACCCCGGGUCUGCAGUCGAUACGGGCAGGCUAGAGUUCGGUAGGGGAGAUCGGAAUUCCUGGUGUACGGUGAAAUGCGCAGAUAUCACGAGGAACACCGGUGGGCGAAGGCGGAUCCUCUGGCCGAUCUGACCUUGAGGAACAAA